GAUGAACGCUGGCGGCGUGCCUAAUACAUGCAAGUAGAACGCUGAAGCUUGGUGCUUGCACCGAGCGGAUGAGUUGCGAACGGGUGAGUAACGCGUAGGUAACCUGCCUCUUAGCGGGGGAUAACUAUUGGAAACGAUAGCUAAUACCGCAUAAAAGUCGAUAUCGCAUGAUAUUGAUUUGAAAGGUGCAAAUGCAUCACUAAAAGAUGGACCUGCGUUGUAUUAGCUAGUUGGUGAGGUAACGGCUCACCAAGGCGACGAUACAUAGCCGACCUGAGAGGGUGAUCGGCCACACUGGGACUGAGACACGGCCCAGACUCCUACGGGAGGCAGCAGUAGGGAAUCUUCGGCAAUGGGGGCAACCCUGACCGAGCAACGCCGCGUGAGUGAAGAAGGUUUUCGGAUCGUAAAGCUCUGUUGUAAGAGAAGAACGAGUGUGAGAGUGGAAAGUUCACACUGUGACGGUAACUUACCAGAAAGGGACGGCUAACUACGUG
This 497-nucleotide ribosomal RNA is filed under the name uncultured bacterium. RNAcentral's name for it is "partial 16S ribosomal RNA". It matches the Rfam family "Bacterial small subunit ribosomal RNA", at positions 28 to 507 of the family's 1533-position model. The record is from RNAcentral.